This 464-nucleotide ribosomal RNA is filed under the name Gemella sanguinis. RNAcentral describes it as "bacterial SSU rRNA". It matches the Rfam family "Bacterial small subunit ribosomal RNA", at positions 28 to 473 of the family's 1533-position model. Lineage: Bacteria; Bacillati; Bacillota; Bacilli; Caryophanales; Gemellaceae. The record is from RNAcentral.
GACGAACGCUGGCGGCGUGCCUAAUACAUGCAAGUCGAGCGAAGUUUUUCUGGUGCUUGCACUAGAAAAACUUAGCGGCGAACGGGUGAGUAACACGUAAAGAACCUGCCUCAUAGACGGGGACAACUAUUGGAAACGAUAGCUAAUACCGGAUAACAGCAUAAAUCGCAUGAUAUAUGUUUAAAAGUUGGUUUCGGCUAACACUAUGAGAUGGCUUUGCGGUGCAUUAGCUAGUUGGUGGGGUAAGGGCCUACCAAGGCGACGAUGCAUAGCCGACCUGAGAGGGUGAUCGGCCACACUGGGACUGAGACACGGCCCAGACUCCUACGGGAGGCAGCAGUAGGGAAUCUUCCGCAAUGGGCGAAAACCUGACGGAGCAACGCCGCGUGAGUGAAGAAGGAUUUCGGUUCGUAAAGCUCUGUUGUUAGGGAAGAAUGAUUGUAUAGUAACUAUAUACAGUAGAG